RNAcentral lists this ribosomal RNA (464 nucleotides) under uncultured Paenibacillus sp. RNAcentral describes it as "bacterial SSU rRNA". It matches the Rfam family "Bacterial small subunit ribosomal RNA", at positions 338 to 795 of the family's 1533-position model. Lineage: Bacteria; Bacillati; Bacillota; Bacilli; Caryophanales; Paenibacillaceae. The record is from RNAcentral.
CCUACGGGUGGCAGCAGUAGGGAAUCUUCCGCAAUGGACGCAAGUCUGACGGAGCAACGCCGCGUGAGUGAAGAAGGUUUUCGGAUUGUAAAACUCUGUUGCCGGGGAAGAACGGCCGCGGGAGGAAAUGCCAGCGGUUUGACGGUACCCGAGAAGAAAGCCCCGGCUAACUACGUGCCAGCAGCCGCGGUAAUACGUAGGGGGCAAGCGUUGUCCGGAAUUAUUGGGCGUAAAGCGCGCGCAGGCGGUUUCUUAAGUCCGGUGUGAAAAGGCAGGGCUCAACCCUGUCUGGCAUCGGAAACUGGGAGACUGGAGUGCAGAAGAGGAGAGUGGAAUUCCACGUGUAGCGGUGAAAUGCGUAGAGAUGUGGAGGAACACCAGUGGCGAAGGCGACUCUCUGGUCUGUAACUGACGCUGAGGCGCGAAAGCGUGGGGAGCAAACAGGAUUAGAUACCCUAGUAGUC